RNAcentral lists this ribosomal RNA (465 nucleotides) under uncultured Zoogloea sp. Its description in RNAcentral is "bacterial SSU rRNA". It matches the Rfam family "Bacterial small subunit ribosomal RNA", at positions 338 to 795 of the family's 1533-position model. Lineage: Bacteria; Pseudomonadati; Pseudomonadota; Betaproteobacteria; Rhodocyclales; Zoogloeaceae. The record is from RNAcentral.
CCUACGGGAGGCAGCAGUGGGGAAUUUUGGACAAUGGGGGCAACCCUGAUCCAGCCAUGCCGCGUGAGUGAAGAAGGCCUUCGGGUUGUAAAGCUCUUUCAGACGGAAAGAAAACGCAUCGGUGAAUACCCGGUGUGGAUGACGGUACCGUAAGAAGAAGCACCGGCUAACUACGUGCCAGCAGCCGCGGUAAUACGUAGGGUGCGAGCGUUAAUCGGAAUUACUGGGCGUAAAGCGUGCGCAGGCGGUUAUGUAAGACAGAUGUGAAAUCCCCGGGCUCAACCUGGGAACUGCGUUUGUGACUGCAUAACUAGAGUACGGCAGAGGGAGGUGGAAUUCCGCGUGUAGCAGUGAAAUGCGUAGAUAUGCGGAGGAACACCGAUGGCGAAGGCAGCCUCCUGGGCCUGUACUGACGCUCAUGCACGAAAGCGUGGGGAGCAAACAGGCUUAGAUACCCUUGUAGUC